This 272-nucleotide ribosomal RNA is filed under the name uncultured bacterium. RNAcentral describes it as "partial 16S ribosomal RNA". It matches the Rfam family "Bacterial small subunit ribosomal RNA", at positions 524 to 792 of the family's 1533-position model. The record is from RNAcentral.
UACGUAGGGUGCGAGCGUUAAUCGGAAUACUGGGCGUAAAGCGUGCGCAGGCGGUUAUGUAAGACAGUUGUGAAAUCCCCGGGCUCAACCUGGGAAUUGCAUCUGUGACUGCAUAGCUAGAGUACGGUAGAGGGGAUGGGAAUUCCGCGUGUAGCAGUGAAAAUGCGUAGAUAUGCGGAGGAACACCGAUGGCGAAGGCAAUCCCCUCGGACCUGUACUGACGCUCAUGCACGAAAAGCGUGGGGGAGCAAACGAGGAUAGAUACCCCAGUA